Molecule: long non-coding RNA, 679 nt
Organism: Planococcus citri (citrus mealybug)
Lineage: Eukaryota; Metazoa; Arthropoda; Insecta; Hemiptera; Pseudococcidae
Exons: 2
Source: RefSeq, a predicted model, not a curated record
AUCUUGUGAACUGCAUACACAUUUAUGAAUGUAUUGUAUUGUUAUUAUACUCGAGUUCUUUACAUCUUCGUAAUGAGAAGAAUUUCCGUCCAGUUUACUAAUUGUUUCAAGGUUAUUUGAAGAUCACAAUUUACCAAAAUUUAGAAAACCUCAAUUUUGAAAAAAGAGCUCAAAAGUAUGAGACAUGAGAAAAUCGAAAUUUAAAAAAAAAAUCGCUCGAAAUGAAAAAGGUUCGUUUGGCAUAAAUGUAAUAUCUUUUCUCCAUUCAUUUCGACAAUUGAAAGAACGGUGGGAUUAAUUCACGACGACCAUAUUUAUGUAAUUUAACUUCAUCGAAACAUUUCGCAUCAACUUACGCAUCGUGCAGCCGAAAUAUUCGCCCCUUGAUCCAGCAACAAAUUAACAGCGUCCAAGUGACCAUUAGCAGCGGCUAAUAUAAGAGGUGUGGUCUUCUCCUGCACACACAAAUUCAAAACUUGAGUCACUAUUGUAACAUUAAAAGCAUUUAAUGUACAAAAAACAACGCUGAUUACAAAAUAACAAGGUAUUUUACUUAGACCAUUAAACAGCGGUAAUUUGUUAAUGGAAUUUCUUUUCGAAAGGAGUGCCAAAGUAGGUACAUAUUGUAAUAUUUUACAAAAAUAUUUUUCUUAUGGUAUAUAAACUUUUUUUACGUGAA